RNAcentral lists this ribosomal RNA (301 nucleotides) under uncultured bacterium. RNAcentral's name for it is "partial 16S ribosomal RNA". It matches the Rfam family "Bacterial small subunit ribosomal RNA", at positions 509 to 809 of the family's 1533-position model. The record is from RNAcentral.
CAGUCGCCACGGUAAUACGUAGGUGGCAAGCGUUAUCCGGAAUUAUUGGGCGUAAAGGGCUCGCAGGCGGUUUCUUAAGUCUGAUGUGAAAGCCCCCGGCUCAACCGGGGAGGGUCAUUGGAAACUGGGAAACUUGAGUGCAGAAGAGGAGAGUGGAAUUCCACGUGUAGCGGUGAAAUGCGUAGAGAUGUGGAGGAACACCAGUGGCGAAGGCGACUCUCUGGUCUGUAACUGACGCUGAGGAGCGAAAGCGUGGGGAGCGAACAGGAUUAGAUACCCGUGUAGUCCCUGUCUCUUAUAA